CGGGGAAUAUUGCACAAUGGGGGAAACCCUGAUGCAGCAACGCCGCGUGAGUGAUGACGGUCUUCGGAUUGUAAGCUCUGUCUUCAGGGACGAUAAUGACGGUACCUGAGGAGGAAGCCAUGGCUAACUACGUGCCAGCAGCCGCGGUAAUACGUAGGUGGCAAGCGUUGUCCGGAUUUACUGGGCGUAAAGGGAGCGUAGGUGGAUAUUUAAGUGGGAUGUGAAAUACUCGGGCUUAACCUGGGUGCUGCAUUCCAAACUGAAUAUCUAGAGUGCAGGAGAGGAAAGUAGAAUUCCUAGUGUAGCGGUGAAAUGCGUAGAGAUUAGGAAGAAUACCAGUGGCGAAGGCGACUUUCUGGACUGUAACUGACACUGAGGCUCGAAAGCGUGGGGAGCAAACAG
Molecule: ribosomal RNA, 402 nt
Filed under: uncultured bacterium
Lineage: Bacteria
Description: bacterial SSU rRNA
Rfam family: Bacterial small subunit ribosomal RNA
Source: RNAcentral